This 300-nucleotide ribosomal RNA is filed under the name uncultured Desulfurococcus sp. RNAcentral's name for it is "bacterial SSU rRNA". The stretch from base 52 to 300 matches the Rfam family "Bacterial small subunit ribosomal RNA", at positions 547 to 795 of the family's 1533-position model. The record is from RNAcentral. Lineage: Archaea; Thermoproteati; Thermoproteota; Thermoprotei; Desulfurococcales; Desulfurococcaceae.
GGGAACGGUGGGCGGUAGACGGGUGUAAAACGAAGGGUGGAAGGGUGAAACGGAAUGAGGGGGCGGAAAGGGUGCGUGGGCGGUUAUUUAAGCCUGCCGUGAAAGCCCCGGGCUCAACCGGGGAAUGGCGGUGGAUAGUGGAUAGCGAGAGUGUGUCAGAGGAUGGUGGAAUUCCCGGUGUAGCGGUGAAAUGCGUAGAGAUCGGGAGGAACAUCAGUGGCGAAGGCGGCCAUCUGGGACAACACUGACGCUGAAGCACGAAAGCGUGGGGAGCAAACAGGAUUAGAUACCCCUGUAGUC